RNAcentral lists this transfer RNA (84 nucleotides) under Echinostoma caproni. It matches the Rfam family "tRNA". From Rfam's summary of the family: Transfer RNA (tRNA) molecules are approximately 80 nucleotides in length. Lineage: Eukaryota; Metazoa; Platyhelminthes; Trematoda; Plagiorchiida; Echinostomatidae. The record is from Rfam by way of RNAcentral.
GGUCUCGUAGCUCAGCUGGUAGAGCGUGAACUGUACAAAGGUGUAGGCUAUGUCCAUGUGUGGGUUCGAAUCCCAUCGAGGCCA